UGCCGACCCCUUCGCCGGUCGCGCGUUCCCCUUGCGGUGAGCGCGCCGCCGUCGAAUGGAUCGGUG
Molecule: microRNA precursor, 66 nt
Filed under: Triticum aestivum (bread wheat)
Lineage: Eukaryota; Viridiplantae; Streptophyta; Magnoliopsida; Poales; Poaceae
Description: miR5384 stem-loop (tae-MIR5384)
Source: miRBase by way of RNAcentral